GCCCCCAGGCUACCGCUGCUCUUCGGGUUCCCUUCCAUCCACCUCGUCUUACGCAGGAGACCGAGGCGCCAAGAAUUUUGGUGACAAGGGUCCAGCGCCUACACCCGGCCUCUGCUCUCUCGAAUGUUCUCUCCCCUCCAGUCGGCCUCUUUUAAAAAGAAUGAUAGUUAACUUUAAUUGCCGGCUUACUGCCUGGGCCAAGGGCUUAGAGGAAGAGUGAGAGGAAUCCUGAAUCACAGACCUUCUCGGGCUCCCUGAGGGACGCAGAAGUACGAGAGGGCAGAAAUCAGGAUUGUUCAAACAAAGAUCCCUCUAAUUCCAAAAUUCAUGAUCUUUCCACUUCGUGGCAAGAUCUUGGAGAACCAAAUUCCAGUGUGGACUCCACCACCCCAACUAUGCAACAUUGAAGUGUAUGAUGGGGAGAAAUCCUGCCGACCAGGAGCUUUCUAAAUGGUGACUAUGGAGAGAUGCCAAGGAAAUCGAAUGGUGCCAAGUGCAAAAUCCUCAAGUUGCUCCCUACACCAACAGAAAUCCAUUUGGGAGCUAGAUUUCACUAAGGCAGGAAGUAUUUCACCUACGAUAGAGCACAUGCGGAGAUUAUAUUUGGGAACCAGGGACUAAGGAAGAAAAAGUAAAGCUACAUUGUAUUUCAGGAGACAGUAAGAAGAGAACAUUCCCUGGAGAAAAGCCCAGUGACCUUUUGUGAAGGAAGAAAGAAUGCUGAAGCAAUAGUUCAAAACUACAUGUUUUUAAAAUAUUUCCCUUAUAGUAAAUAACUGCUGAAAUGUUGUUAUUCUUUCAAUAAGCUCAAUGCACUGAGAAGAUACAAAUAUAUAUGUAAAGAAAAUA
Long non-coding RNA from Eptesicus fuscus (big brown bat), 849 nucleotides. RefSeq lists it as uncharacterized. The record is from RefSeq and is a predicted model, not a curated record. The transcript has 4 exons. NCBI's taxonomy places the organism in Eukaryota, Metazoa, Chordata, Mammalia, Chiroptera, Vespertilionidae.